Molecule: non-coding RNA, 21 nt
Filed under: Caenorhabditis elegans
Lineage: Eukaryota; Metazoa; Nematoda; Chromadorea; Rhabditida; Rhabditidae
Source: RNAcentral
UAUAUGAACAAUUUACGCUGC